This 230-nucleotide long non-coding RNA is filed under the name Helianthus annuus (common sunflower). RNAcentral's name for it is "sRNA HanXRQr2_Chr01g0025261". Lineage: Eukaryota; Viridiplantae; Streptophyta; Magnoliopsida; Asterales; Asteraceae. The record is from RNAcentral.
GGCGGUCGUCUUUAAUCAGCCAUCCUCCCCACUACGUCGCUGCCGUCAGAUGCGGCAGUGAGGUAUGCAGCCCAGAUGUGAUAAGAGAAGAAGAUGAUGGUGGAAACGAUGAGGUCUGAAAGUGGGUGAGUGAAAGUGAACAUGAUCUGGUCAUUUGGAUGAUUUUGGGUGAGAAAGUGUGAGCGAUUAAGAUGAAUGUGAAAGGGAGGGUGAGAGUGAGGGUUCGUUGA